Tachyglossus aculeatus (Australian echidna) is the source of this 108-nucleotide small nuclear RNA. Lineage: Eukaryota; Metazoa; Chordata; Mammalia; Monotremata; Tachyglossidae. The record is from RefSeq and is a predicted model, not a curated record.
GUGCUACUUUCAGCAACACAUAUGCUAAAAUUAGAAUGACACAGAGAAGAUUAAGCAUGGUUCCUGCAAAAGGAAGACAUGUAAAUUCGUGAAGUGUUCCAUAUCUUU